Molecule: long non-coding RNA, 294 nt
Organism: Homo sapiens (human)
Lineage: Eukaryota; Metazoa; Chordata; Mammalia; Primates; Hominidae
Exons: 3
Source: RefSeq, a predicted model, not a curated record
CGGUAAGCUUUGCAGACUUUAUCAAAAACUGGACCAGGAGCAGAAGAAGUCAAGUAGACUCUCUGAGGACAUAAAAAACAAAGCCAGAAAACCUCAGGUGGGGAGUUUUGGGUGGUCACAGCAGAAAGUUGCCGAACAUUCAAGUACAACGAGUCCUAAAAGGAAUAUGCGCGGGACAUCGGCCGUCUUGUAGCAGCCUUGUAGACAAAGGGAUGGCCAACCUCCCUUCUCCCCAGUCCUUCCUUGUGGGUGUUUGUUUAUUAAUGGAGUGGAGUGAAACCCUGAAAGCUGUGC